This 1447-nucleotide ribosomal RNA is filed under the name uncultured organism. RNAcentral describes it as "SSU rRNA". It matches the Rfam family "Bacterial small subunit ribosomal RNA". The record is from RNAcentral.
CUACAGGCUUAACACAUGCAAGUCGAGGGGCAGCAUCAUUAAAGCUUGCUUUGAUGGAUGGCGACCGGCGCACGGGUGAGUAACACGUAUCCAACCUGCCGACAACACUGGGAUAGCCUUUCGAAAGAAAGAUUAAUACCGGAUGGCAUAGUCUUCCCGCAUGGGAUGACUAUUAAAGAAUUUCGGUUGUCGAUGGGGAUGCGUUCCAUUAGGCAGUUGGCGGGGUAACGGCCCACCAAACCAACGAUGGAUAGGGGUUCUGAGAGGAAGGUCCCCCACAUUGGAACUGAGACACGGUCCAAACUCCUACGGGAGGCAGCAGUGAGGAAUAUUGGUCAAUGGGCGAGAGCCUGAACCAGCCAAGUAGCGUGAAGGAUGAAGGCUCUAUGGGUCGUAAACUUCUUUUAUAUGGGAAUAAAGUUUUCCACGUGUGGAAUUUUGUAUGUACCAUAUGAAUAAGGAUCGGCUAACUCCGUGCCAGCAGCCGCGGUAAUACGGAGGAUCCGAGCGUUAUCCGGAUUUAUUGGGUUUAAAGGGAGCGUAGGUGGAUUGUUAAGUCAGUUGUGAAAGUUUGCGGCUCAACCGUAAAAUUGCAGUUGAAACUGGCAGUCUUGAGUACAGUAGAGGUGGGCGGAAUUCGUGGUGUAGCGGUGAAAUGCUUAGAUAUCACGAAGAACUCCGAUUGCGAAGGCAGCUCACUAGACUGUCACUGACACUGAUGCUCGAAAGUGUGGGUAUCAAACAGGAUUAGAUACCCUGGUAGUCCACACAGUAAACGAUGAAUACUCGCUGUUUGCGAUAUACAGUAAGCGGCCAAGCGAAAGCAUUAAGUAUUCCACCUGGGGAGUACGCCGGCAACGGUGAAACUCAAAGGAAUUGACGGGGGCCCGCACAAGCGGAGGAACAUGUGGUUUAAUUCGAUGAUACGCGAGGAACCUUACCCGGGCUUAAAUUGCAACAGAAUAUAUUGGAAACAGUAUAGCCGUAAGGCUGUUGUGAAGGUGCUGCAUGGUUGUCGUCAGCUCGUGCCGUGAGGUGUUGGCUUAAGUGCCAUAACGAGCGCAACCCUUAUCUUUAGUUACUAACAGGUCAUGCUGAGGACUCUAGAGAGACUGCCGUCGUAAGAUGUGAGGAAGGUGGGGAUGACGUCAAAUCAGCACGGCCCUUACGUCCGGGGCUACACACGUGUUACAAUGGGGGGUACAGAAGGCGGCUACCUGGUGACAGGAUGCUAAUCCCAAAAACCUCUCUCAGUUCGGAUCGAAGUCUGCAACCCGACUUCGUGAAGCUGGAUUCGCUAGUAAUCGCGCAUCAGCCAUGGCGCGGUGAAUACGUUCCCGGGCCUUGUACACACCGCCCGUCAAGCCAUGAAAGCCGGGGGUACCUGAAGUACGUAACCGCAAGGAGCGUCCUAGGGUAAAACUGGUAAUUGGGGCUAAGUCAUAAC